UGAGGAAUAUUGGUCAAUGGACGAGAGUCUGAACCAGCCAAAUCGCGUGAAGGAAGACUGCCCUACGGGUUGUAAACUUCUUUUGUACAGGAAUAAAAGACAUUACGUGUAAUGUAUUGCAUGUACUGUACGAAUAAGCAUCGGCUAACUCCGUGCCAGCAGCCGCGGUAAUACGGAGGAUGCGAGCGUUAUCCGGAUUUAUUGGGUUUAAAGGGUGCGCAGGCGGGAUUUUAAGUCAGCGGUGAAAUUUUCAGGCUCAACCUGAACACUGCCGUUGAAACUGGGAUUCUUGAGUAUGGAUGAAGUAGGCGGAACUCGUUGUGUAGCGGUGACAUGCUUAGAUAUAACGAGGAACUCCGAUUGCGUAGGCAGCUUACUAAGCCAUAACUGACGCUCAAGCACGAAAGCGUGGGGAUCAAACA
RNAcentral lists this ribosomal RNA (422 nucleotides) under uncultured bacterium. Its description in RNAcentral is "bacterial SSU rRNA". It matches the Rfam family "Bacterial small subunit ribosomal RNA", at positions 355 to 774 of the family's 1533-position model. The record is from RNAcentral.